UUCAUUCCAAAUCAAUCAUCCACAAACGUUGUUCUUAAGCAUCCAAGACAGGUUUCAUAGCUCAAUUCCUACAUCUCAUCCAAGAAUCCCAAGGAAAUUAGCUCAACAUGAUUCUAGAAGAAAGCAUUUGGAAAGAAGACCUAACCAUCUUAUUACAGAAAAUAAUCGGCUUUAUCUUCCUCCAAUCGAUGCUCUUGAUCUCCUAGCUUCGCUUUUGGCUUCAAUCCUUCAAAGGCAGCUCCUUUAGAUCUUCAAUUUGGGCUCUAGAUGAGGUUGGGAGCUGGUUUUUGCAGAGAAAACUCGGGAGAAAUUGGGGAAAAUCGAGCUGGGAAAAGUCUUCUUUCUCUUUCCUCCACCUUCCCUUUUUAUAGUUGCAGCUGGAUCUGGCAAGGUGCACG
Molecule: long non-coding RNA, 398 nt
Filed under: Linum usitatissimum (flax)
Lineage: Eukaryota; Viridiplantae; Streptophyta; Magnoliopsida; Malpighiales; Linaceae
Description: long non-coding RNA (LUSI_LNC006004)
Source: RNAcentral